This 301-nucleotide ribosomal RNA is filed under the name uncultured bacterium. Its description in RNAcentral is "partial 16S ribosomal RNA". It matches the Rfam family "Bacterial small subunit ribosomal RNA", at positions 509 to 807 of the family's 1533-position model. The record is from RNAcentral.
CAGUAGCCGCGGUAAUACAUAGGUGGCAAGCGUUGUCCGGAAUUAUUGGGCGUAAAGGGCUCGCAGGCGGUUUCUUAAGUCUGAUGUGAAAGCCCCCGGCUCAACCGGGGAGGGUCAUUGGAAACUGGGAAACUUGAGUGCAGAAGAGGAGAGUGGAAUUCCACGUGUAGCGGUGAAAUGCGUAGAGAUGUGGAGGAACACCAGUGGCGAAGGCGACUCUCUGGUCUGUAACUGACGCUGAGGAGCGAAAGCGUGGGGAGCGAACAGGAUUAGAUACCCGCGUAGUCCCUGUCUCUUAUAC